Molecule: ribosomal RNA, 305 nt
Filed under: uncultured bacterium
Lineage: Bacteria
Description: bacterial SSU rRNA
Rfam family: Bacterial small subunit ribosomal RNA
Source: RNAcentral
UCCUACGGGGGGCAGCAGUAGGGAAUUUUCGUCAAUGGGCGCAAGCCUGAACGAGCAAUGCCGCGUGAACGAGGAAGGUCUUCGGAUCGUAAAGUUCUGUUGAAGGGGAAAAAGAGCGGAGAGAGGAAAUGGUCUCCGAUUGAUAUUACCCUUCGAGGAAGUCACGGCUAACUACGUGCCAGCAGCCGCGGUAAUACGUAGGUGGCGAGCGUUAUCCGGAAUGAUUGGGCGUAAAGGGUGCGUCGGCGGCCUGCUACGUCUGGAGUGAAAGGUACCGGCUCAACCGGUACAGGCCCUGGACACUG